Phragmites australis (common reed) is the source of this 1184-nucleotide long non-coding RNA. RefSeq lists it as uncharacterized. The transcript has 5 exons. The record is from RefSeq and is a predicted model, not a curated record. Lineage: Eukaryota; Viridiplantae; Streptophyta; Magnoliopsida; Poales; Poaceae.
CCCCAAACAAAUGACCUCCCGCAUCUCCCUCAACCAGUCCCCCGCAACCGGGCCAGCGCGCCGCACCUCCAUCAUUGCCCUAACCCCAGCCACGCCACCUUUGCCUGUCCCCACGCCCCCUCCCACAGGGCCAGGCAGUCCUGUGCCCCUCUCAGAUCGGCCCAACCACGCCGCCACCACCCCCAUUCCCCCUCCCUCUGCCACCACUGGCCUCGUUCCCCUCUUAGAUCGGCCUAGCCAUGACGCCGCCACACCCAAACCGCCAUGCCACCACACCACACUUAUGUUCCCUCACAAUGACAUCAACCACCUCAUCAUCGUCCAGGACGAUGACCCAGCAAGACCAUCCGUGUGCCCGAGGGCUUCAACUAUGAGCUCUACAACUGCAACAACAUCAACCACAUCCUCAGGCCCAAGGCCUCCUGCAUCUCCUUCAAGGACUCGACGUGCCGAUGCUUCGGCUACGUGGUCUCCAAGAAGAAGUACAUCUACACCAUCAACGACGACUACUUCUACUGGUCAGGAAAGGGGGGGGGGGGGGGGCGAGGAGGAUUACAGAGGAGUCGGUGCCAAGCUAGGAGACGAGAAAGCGGAGCAAGCUGGGCCACGGUGCAACAACAUCUGGUAAGAAACUACACUUCUGUCCCUACAAUCAACAACAGCAUUAAGAUGGAAGUAGGAACUGAAGAUUGCUUACAUAUUGAGUUUGAAUACAACAAAAGCAAAUGGAAGUAGGAAUUGAAGAUGGCUUACAUAUUGAGUUUGAAUACAGCAAAAGCAAGCAAGAUCAUAUGCAUGUCUAUUUGUCUGUUCUGAUAAGUUUCUUACUUUGGAAACCCAGUGGUGCUAUUAGAAGUUCUUCAAAAUUAUUAUGUUGAUACUAAUAACUCCAAAGCUUUUUUUUUUCUUUGUUGUAAAGAUCAGUCCCCUUAUAAAGCUUGUUGUUUUGCUGGGAAUGAUAGAUUUUAGUCAUGUCUGGUUUUAUUCUAGGAUCGGCUGUAGGGAUCCUCAUUAUUACAAAAGAACACCUUUUCUUCAGAUGUUCACAGCCACAAUAUGUCAUUAUGUAACACCACUUAUGGUUCAAAGUAUGAAUCUGAUCAGGUGCAGUUGGUGCUUUACUUUUUUUUUAAAGAGUUGGUGCCUUAGCUGCCUACCCAUGUUGGACCAUCUCCUCCACCAAA